Molecule: long non-coding RNA, 522 nt
Organism: Helianthus annuus (common sunflower)
Lineage: Eukaryota; Viridiplantae; Streptophyta; Magnoliopsida; Asterales; Asteraceae
Exons: 3
Source: RefSeq, a predicted model, not a curated record
GUAUGCCCUAUAGAGAGAAGCACCCAUCUUCCCCCUAAAAGCAAAUGAAACAUUAAAAAAAGCAUUGUAAAGUUUGUAGAAACUACCACAAUACCCGCCAAUGACCUGUGGAAUUUGAGACUUUGCAGUUGAUGAACCUUUUCAAUAUGCUGAAUGUAUUAAAAUCAGAGGACACUAAUUUGCAGAUUAUGGUCGCUCUCGCACCUGAUCCGUCGCGUUUAUUGUAGUUUUGAAUAAGUUUGAAGCAAGCUGGGCUGCUGGGCAUUGGCGAUAUUUACAUUUGGGAGGGUCGCGCCUAAACGAAUGUUCUGCGGCCAACCUCAGUGGAAGCCGAUAAUAGGUAUGCAAUUAAUUAAUCAUUUUUAGUGAUAACUUCACAAACUACCAUAUAGAGUUAUGUACUUGUGUCAUAUUGUGGUUAUAUAAAACUAUAAUUUUUAGUGAUAAUUUCACAAUUAGGUUUAAUCUAUACUAUAUAUCAUAUUUGUUAACUGCAUUUUAUUUUAUCUUUUUACAAAACAA